This is a long non-coding RNA of Cyprinus carpio (common carp), 3162 nucleotides long. The record is from Ensembl. NCBI's taxonomy places the organism in Eukaryota, Metazoa, Chordata, Actinopteri, Cypriniformes, Cyprinidae.
UGCCAUUCUCCAUGUUCUGAUCGUGUAAAAAGCCCCACCUCUCUGAGAUUCUUUGGGAUGUGAAGUUCAGUGACAGCACCGGCUGCGAUGAGCACAUUUCUCAAGCUCGUCUCCAGAGCGCAAGAGCAAUGCGCGGCAGAUGCCUUUAUAUUUGCUCUCAUGUCUCGCGCGGUUCACUCAGAGUGAUUCAAUAGAGCACGACAGCUUCAGUUCAGUGUCAGUCGCAGAGCUGCAUCGCUAAAGCUUGCACUUGGAAUAUCUCACAAAAGAGCAGAAGCGCGACGCGUCAGCGGAGGAGCCGCGACACACGCCGCUAUCGCGUGCUGCGUGUAAGGGAUUGACUGACGCUGCAGAAGGUGAGCUGAAAACAGCUAGAAAACCCGAUUCUCCUGAGCUCUGGAAAAGACGAACACCUCCACUCACUGGUAUCUAAAGAAUGGAAAAGAGUCUUCUGCCUGGACAAAACGACAUUGUGAUGGCCACCCCACCGAGUUCAUUCCAGCAGGAGCCGCUCACGCCUCCAAGAUCCUCUCUUAAGCCCAACCAAGUUGGGCAGGUCAUCCUCUACGGGGUGCCUAUUGUCUCGCUGGUGAUUGACAAUCAAGAGCGCUUAUGCCUGGCUCAGAUAUCCAACACCCUAUUAAAGAACUACAGCUACAACGAGAUCCACAAUCGUCGAGUGGCUCUGGGCAUCACCUGCGUGCAGUGCACCCCAGUCCAGCUGGAGAUCCUCCGGCGGGCGGGCGCCAUGCCCAUCUCCUCCCGCCGCUGUGGCAUGAUCACCAAACGUGAGGCAGAGCGACUGUGCAAGUCUUUCCUGGGAGAGAACUCACCACCCAAGCUGCCAGACAACUUCGCAUUCGACGUGAUGCAUGAAUGCGCUUGGGGCUGCCGGGGAAGUUUCAUCCCGGCGCGCUACAACAGCUCCCGGGCCAAAUGCAUCAAGUGCUCCUACUGUAAUAUGUACUUCUCCCCUAACAAAUUCAUCUUCCACUCGCACCGCACACCCGAAGCCAAGUACACGCAGCCAGACGCCGCCAACUUCAACUCCUGGCGUCGGCACCUUAAACUUUCAGACAAAACGGCAGCGGAGGACCUGUUGUUUGCCUGGGAGGAUGUAAAAGCCAUGUUUAACGGAGGAAGUCGCAAGAGGGCGUUUCCAUCCUCUAACAUGGGCUCCGUCAAGGCUGUGAACUCAGUUCUGCCCCACAUGAUUUCUCCAGAACUUGCCCAGAAGAGAGGCAGGUACGAGGACGAUGAUGAGUUGGAGGCCAAUAGCCUCUCGCCCCGAAAACCCCCACGCAGUUACCCGGUCAUCCCGGUCCCGAGCAAAGGUUUCGGGAUGUUGCAGAAGUUCCCAACCACGUCGCUAUUCCCAAGCCCAUACACCUUCCCAGCCUUCGGCUUGUGCCCGCAGAAGAAGGAUGACAGCGAGGCGACCAAUGGACAGAAAAACAGCGGCCUCUCAGGGCUCCUUUGGCCUGGCCGAAAGGACGCUUUUUAUCCUCCCUUCUGCAUGUUUUGGCCCCCGAGGGCAACUGGGGGUAUCCCGGUGCCCACUUACCUCCAACCCCAACCCAAUGCCCUUUCCUCGCUCACAGAGAGCCCAUCUCUCAGACAAGCCUUUUUGGAUCUGUCUGAACAAGGUGAUGUCGGUUCGGGUUUGGAAACGAACCCUAGAUCUGGGCUGUUUGAGAGCGACUGUACACCCGUGACCUCUGACCUCCGCCCCGCCCCGGAGGGCUGGCUAAAACUCCUAGACGCUCCCUCGCUGCAAGCCCGCAAGGCCAGUUACCACUCCGCCUUCCGCCCAGUUGUCAAAGACGCAGAAAGCAUCGCCAAGCUCCACGGCAGCCUGGAGGAUUUCGGCCCGGAGCGGCACCUUUCUCCUGGCACCAGCUGCAGCUACGACAGCGGAGAGAGCGACGAGGAGCAGGAAGUGGACGUGGAGACCAAACAGGACGAGGAACAGGAAGACUUCACCAGCCGAGCGGCACAGACACCCCUGCAAAUGCACGGGCUUCCCGACAACAGCGUGGGGGAACCACAGCAGGCCAAAGAACCGCCCUCCUUCCCAAGUGCUCCCGCCGAGACCUCGGCAGAGGACAAACCCGGCCUCGCUGUCAGUCCACCCACCAUCCUCAAAGUCCCCAGCCCCGUUCACGGCUCACUGGAGGAAAGCGGCGCGUACAGAAAUGCUCACAAGAGCAGAGACGAUGGGCUGCCAGCAUAUGCAAGCAAAAACAAAACUACCAUCUCAGAUGACAACAAAGAGCAGAGCAGCUUUUUCAUCCCAGAGACAGAAACGUCGGCACCUGAAUACUGGCGUGAGAAUCCAACAGACCAAAGUCAAGACACAAACUCUCCCGUAUCGCUCAAGAAGGAUGUUGAGAACAUGGAAAAGGAGGAACUCCAGAAAGUUCUCCUUGAACAGAUAGAUUUACGGAGGAGACUGGAGCAGGAGUUUCACGCUCUGAAAGGCAGCUCUCCAUUUCCAGUUUUCCAUAACUUUCAAGACCAAAUGAAGAGAGAACUGGCUUACAGGGAAGAAAUGGUGCAGCAGUUACAGAUGAUUCCCUAUGCAAACAUCAUUAGAAAAGAAAAGGUCGGGACACAUCUAAACAAAAGCUAAAUGAGUUGAAAUCAUCCCCAUGUCUAUGAGGAAUCAUCAAGCACAACGGAAGCAGCCCCGUGACCGGAUCAAACGUUGAACGCUGCCAUUGACAGACCGCCUCAUCGAUGUCCAGCUCUCAAUCAAACCAAAACCGAUACACAGGACAGUUCAAUGCAUCUACCAAUGAUUUAGAGCUCAUUUGACGUAUUCCCUGUACAGUAACCCCACUUUGAUUAUUUAUGAACUUAUUUAAGUUUAUUACCCAUGCAUUCACUGGUUUAUUGAUAAAGCAAACUGUACAAUGAUAUUAGCGAUAGGUUGUAACUGUACAGAGGGAGGUCGUUGCUCUGUAGGCUACUGUGGCCGAUGUCUAAGAGCAAUCUGAAAGCGUGUGAACUUUUUCAUGUUUUGCCUGUUUAAAUACAACAUUGACAUAAACACAAGUUUAAAAAUGUUAUUAUUAACUGUUCAUGCAAAUGUAUUUAAAUAUGUUCUUGUAGUUUCUCUACUAUUUAUGUGGAUAAUUAAAAGUCUAUAAUAUGAAAAAG